GGAGGUUAUGGGACGAAGAGGAGGAGAAAGAGGAAUAAGUGUUGGGGGGCAGAUUUGUAUAGGGAGAUGGAGAGGACUAGUGCGGCAGAAGCGGCAGCGGGGAAAAGAGACUGGUCGACGGUUUUGGAUCCGCCGACACCACGCUGUAGUUUGCCACCGCUAACUGGUGGAAGAAUGGUGGAGCAGCUGUCUACGGCGGUCGUCGUUGGCCGGAAAGGGAAAGCAAUGUAAAAUCAAGAUCUACCGGAGCGGCUAUCGACCGUCCAAUUUUGUAACUGUGCUCACUGUGCAUUCCACUAAU
This 301-nucleotide long non-coding RNA is filed under the name Linum usitatissimum (flax). RNAcentral's name for it is "long non-coding RNA (LUSI_LNC005055)". The record is from RNAcentral. Lineage: Eukaryota; Viridiplantae; Streptophyta; Magnoliopsida; Malpighiales; Linaceae.